UAACACACAAAUGAAAAGGAAUCCCUUUCUUAUUGUGGCUUCAAACCAAAGCCAUCCCUUUCACCCUUUUUCUCCUUCCUCAAAACCCACAUAUAAAAUCCUUUCUCCAACUUUUUUCUUCCUUCUUCCUCAACAACACACUCCACCUUGUAUAUCACCAUUUCAUUUCAUCCAUAAUAUGUCUCUCACAGGCCGGCCUCGUGUUGUAGUCAAUGGUGUUCGAAGAAUGAGAACCUUCCAUUAUUUCUGGUGUCUCAAUUGCCAACGUACUGUCAGAAUACCCUCAACAAAUACUAUAACACAUGGCUCUUUUUGCCCAUAUUGCUUCCAUCAAUUGCGUUAUGAACUUGAUAUCUCACGGCCAAGGCUUCUCAUGAAUGUGACUAACAAUAACAUGGAGUCUCCUCCUUCUACUAAUCAAUUAAUGGGUAACUUAGCUUUCAUUCUUGAUCCAUCUCUCAGGAGACAAGAUCAAAACAACAUAACACCACAAUGGGAAACAGAACAUGAAGAUGAUCAAAACCAAAAUCAAAAUCCACAAGCAUGGAUUACACUCCGAUUUGUAAGACCAACUCGUCCACCAAGGCCUAUUGCACCACCGCCACAACCACAAAACUUGGCACCCCAACCCAAUGACAAUGACGCUCCUUCGUUAGACGAGUUCUUUGAUGGGAUGAUUCACAACAACAGCAGACCAGGGCCACCUCCCGCAUCACCUUCCGCCAUUGAAGCCUUGCCAAUGGUGAAAGUGACAGAAUCCCAUUUGACAAGUGACCCGAAUUGUCCAAUAUGCAAAGAUGAGUUUGAGGUUGAUGUGGAAGUGAGAGAGUUACCAUGCAAACAUUUCUACCAUUCUGACUGCAUUCUACCUUGGCUUCGCAUGCACAACACUUGCCCCGUAUGCCGCCAUGAGAUACAAGGGAUUGAUAAUAGUAAUGCUAGUUACUACUUUUCCCAUAAUGAGAAUGAGCAACAUGGGUUCAUUGGGUUUGAGGAAUUUACAAGCAGCAUUAAAUGGAUCUGGAGCCAACUUGCUUUGUUUAGACCUAUUCGUGCAGUUCUAGAUUGGACGCGGUCCUAUUUUGAAUUCCAUGCCCGUGCUCAUAGUAGAAGUAGCUCUUGGUGGCGGGCAUUGCUCAUUUCGUAGAUUCGUCUAUGAAAUCUCACACUGAAGCAUGGUUUUUCAUGUUGGGAUUAUUCCAUUGCUUAUGGUAAUUCAUUUGCUCCACUAUUGAGGGGUAUACUAUCAAAUUGUGUGAUGCACAUUAUAGUUCCCACUAAAUUUGGUGGCUAUGAGAGUGUGCAUCUCACAUGAAAUCAAUUACACUGUAUAUAUGAUAAUGUGCAUAAAUAUAUAUUCAAAGAUUGUUUUUCCUAUAUUGUUAUUAAGGCAUAUAUCCCCUACAUUUUGUAGUGUUUUUAUUUUCUUCUAAAUCUAGUUUCUUCUGUAAGUUUUUUAUUGGAUUUGCUUGUAAACUUUAUUCUGUUUUUGUUUCUUUUGUAAGAAAACUUGAAAUUUCUUUAACUCUUUAGUUUUAAAUACAAAAGAUGAAGAAAAAAAAAGAACAAGAAAACAUGCAGAAUAGCAAUGUAGCAGAAGUAGUAUCAUGAUUUGAUUAGUGAAGAAGUUUGUGUGUGAAAUUGGAAAGAGUGCGGUAAAUUUCGAUGUGCCCCAGCCAACCAUCGCCAAUGCCGCUUACCUCCAUUGCACCAGUCACCAUCUCUGCCUUGAGGUUCUUCACUCCUGUUUCAAGGUUGUAGGAUUAUAAUCCAUAUUGGCAUUAAAUUUGACAAUUGGGGACAUGUAAGUAUAACAUUGCCUUAAUACAUUUACCAGUUCUUUCUUCAAUCAAGAGCGAUUGUUUGUAAGUCAACCAUUGUAUCAACGAUUAAUUUUCUUAU
RNA transcript from Trifolium pratense (red clover), 1902 nucleotides. It is a transcript of the gene named E3 ubiquitin-protein ligase RZF1-like, with no coding region annotated. NCBI's taxonomy places the organism in Eukaryota, Viridiplantae, Streptophyta, Magnoliopsida, Fabales, Fabaceae. The record is from RefSeq and is a predicted model, not a curated record. The transcript has 3 exons.